ACGGGAGGCAGCAGUGGGGAAUAUUGGGCAAUGGGCGAAAGCCUGACCCAGCAACGCCGCGUGAGGGAAGAAGGUUUUCGGAUUGUAAACCUCUGUCCUCAAGGACGAAGGAAGUGACGGUACUUGAGGAGGAAGCCCCGGCUAACUACGUGCCAGCAGCCGCGGUAAUACGUAGGGGGCGAGCGUUGUCCGGAAUGACUGGGCGUAAAGGGCGUGUAGGCGGCCGAUUAAGUGUGGAGUGAAAGUCCUGCUUUCAAGGUGGGAAUUGCUUUGCAGACUGGUUGGCUUGAGUGCGGAAGAGGUAAGUGGAAUUCCCAGUGUAGCGGUGAAAUGCGUAGAGAUUGGGAGGAACACCAGUGGCGAAGGCGACUUACUGGGCCGUAACUGACGCUGAGGCGCGAAAGCGUGGGGAGCGAACAGGAUUAGAUACCCUGGUA
Molecule: ribosomal RNA, 437 nt
Filed under: uncultured bacterium
Lineage: Bacteria
Description: partial 16S ribosomal RNA
Rfam family: Bacterial small subunit ribosomal RNA
Source: RNAcentral